CCUACGGGUGGCAGCAGUGAGGAAUAUUGGUCAAUGGGAGAGAUCCUGAACCAGCCAAGCCGCGUGAGGGAAGACGGCCCUAUGGGUUGUAAACCUCUUUUGUCGGGGAACAAAACCCGGGACGUGUCCCGGGCUGCGUGUAUCCGAACAAAAAGCAUAGGCUAACUCCGUGCCAGCAGCCGCGGUAAUACGGAGGAGGCGAGCGUUAUCGGGAUUUAUUGGGUUUAAAGGGUGCGUGGACGGAUGCCUAAGUAAGUGGUAAAAUGGCGGGGCCAAACCCCGUAGAGCCGUUGAAACUGGGUGCCUUGAGUGGGCGAGAAGGACGCGGAAUGCGUGGUGUAGCGGUGAAAUGCGUAGAUAUUGGGAGGAACACCAGUGGCGAAGGCGGCUUACUGGACUGUAACUGACGUUGAGGCUCGAAAGCGUGGGGAGCAAACAGGAUUAGAUACCCCAGUAGUC
RNAcentral lists this ribosomal RNA (459 nucleotides) under uncultured bacterium. Its description in RNAcentral is "partial 16S ribosomal RNA". It matches the Rfam family "Bacterial small subunit ribosomal RNA", at positions 338 to 795 of the family's 1533-position model. The record is from RNAcentral.